Molecule: ribosomal RNA, 497 nt
Filed under: uncultured bacterium
Lineage: Bacteria
Description: partial 16S ribosomal RNA
Rfam family: Bacterial small subunit ribosomal RNA
Source: RNAcentral
GACGAACGCUGGCGGCGUGCCUAAUACAUGCAAGUUGAGCGCUGAAGGUGGGUACUUGUACCGACUGGAUGAGCAGCGAACGGGUGAGUAACGCGUGGGGAAUCUGCCUUUGAGCGGGGGACAACAUUUGGAAACGAAUGCUAAUACCGCAUAAAAACUUUAAACACAAGUUUUAAGUUUGAAAGAUGCAAUUGCAUCACUCAAAGAUGAUCCCGCGUUGUAUUAGCUAGUUGGUGAGGUAAAGGCUCACCAAGGCGAUGAUACAUAGCCGACCUGAGAGGGUGAUCGGCCACAUUGGGACUGAGACACGGCCCAAACUCCUACGGGAGGCAGCAGUAGGGAAUCUUCGGCAAUGGACGAAAGUCUGACCGAGCAACGCCGCGUGAGUGAAGAAGGUUGUCGGAUCGUAAAACUCUGUUGGUAGAGAAGAACGUUGGUGAGAGUGGAAAGCUCAUCAAGUGACGGUAACUACCCAGAAAGGGACGGCUAACUACGUG